Molecule: long non-coding RNA, 1557 nt
Organism: Anolis carolinensis (green anole)
Lineage: Eukaryota; Metazoa; Chordata; Lepidosauria; Squamata; Anolidae
Source: Ensembl
AUGGUCCCUCCGACGCCGAGAAAAUCUCUGAGGGUUCCUUCAAAACAGCCGCUUGCUAAAAAGAGGGCGACCCAAAGCUCCUCCUCUUCUGCCUCUUCUAAAAAAGACGCCCCUUCCUCUUCGACGACAUCUUCUAGGAGAUCCUCUCCGAUCGCUCCCGCCCAGCGGCCUCGACAACCCUCUCCUCGGCAACUUUCCGAUGGCGAACUGCAGGACUCACCCCACCACUCCACCCAAACUGUGGUCAGGGUGCCAUCGCCUCGGUCUGCUGCCUUGCAUCGUCCGUCCCGUCAGCAGCUUUUUCCCCCGACCUCGACACCGGAACGGGGUAGACAAACCACCCGCUUGGCUCGGGCUGCCCAAGCCUCGGCCUCCAAAGAGACUCGGCCGCAGAUCGCUCCUGCUCUUGAGGCUUUGCCUCCCCCAGAGACUGUGCUGUCAUCUCCCCCUCAGUCCCCUCAAGGGGCUGAGGACGAUGAGAUUGAUAUCGAUCGUCCUGACUCCGCUCUCUCGGCCUCGGUGAUAUCUCUUGGUCUCGAUCUCUCUCCUCCUCACGACGCUUACGAGGUGUAUCCUCCCCCGCCUAUGGACAAUAUUCGGGCCUUCUCGGACCAGAUGGUGAGGAUGGCCGAUGCUCUGGGAUUAGAGAUCAAGCAAACUUCUAAGGCGGUGUCUGACCCGGUUUUCAAACGGGUCCAAGCUCAAGCCCCUCCUGCCACACUGUUGCCGUUUCUGCCUUACCUUCUGGAUGUCAUCCAAGCAUCCUGGAAGACCCCUUCCUCGAUUCCUCCUACCUCAAAGAGGAUCGAAUCCUGGUACCGUACAGAUGACGAUACCUUGGAGUGGCUUAAACACCAUCCCGACCCGAACUCCAUGGUCGUCAAAGCUUCACAGACCUCCGGUCGUGAAUCAAACACACCUGCAGAUAGAGAAGGCAAGAGGUUUGACGCGGUGGGCCGAAAGCUCUACUCUGGGGCCCUCCUACUUUGUAGAAUGGCGAACUAUGGGGCCUGUAUGGGUGCAUACCAGCAGAUCCUUUGGGAGAAGGCACAGCCUUUUUUCUCGAAGUUGUCUGACGAGGACCGAUCUGUACUGUCCACCCUUCAACAAGAAGCCGACUCGUUAGCCCAUCAUCAAAUUCAGAUGGCUAAACAUACAGGUGACACGGCCGGUAAGAUGAUCGCCCAUGCCAUUGCCAUUCUUCGCCACGCCUGGCUGAGGUCGUCGGGUUUGUCUUCUUCCUCCAGACAAGUUAUUGAAAACCUUCCUUUCGACGCUUUGGGUCUUUUCAAUUCUGGCACCGACAAUAAACUCAAAACUAACCAUGAUUUUAAGGUUCUGGCUACCAAGUGUGGUGACCAGCCUCAAACGCACCGCACCAGAUGGUUUCCUCAGUGCUUCCGACGCUUUCCGCCCCCGUCUUACCGUCACCAAUCCUUCAGGCGUCCCUCGGUUUCAAACAACCAGAACCGCCAACAGCCUCGCCGCUCCGCCCAUCCGCAAAAACAAUGCGGUCGAACCACUCCCACCUCUGGUCAGCCCCAUCGGCGUACCUGA